UGGUGGUCCUACAAUGGUGAUGAAAAGUGACAUCCUGAUCAUUCUUUCUCCUUACACUCCACUAACUCAUUAUAUGCAUGCGGUGCAUUAGAAGAAGGUGGAUUCUUAAGACAACCAUCACGUGAAGUCUUAUCCAAUUGAUCAUUUGUAGAGAUCUUUGUAGAAGAUGUACAAAAGGUUCUUUGAAGUUAAAAAAUGCUUGUAGA
This 206-nucleotide long non-coding RNA is filed under the name Elaeis guineensis (African oil palm). RNAcentral's name for it is "long non-coding RNA (EGUI_LNC042953)". Lineage: Eukaryota; Viridiplantae; Streptophyta; Magnoliopsida; Arecales; Arecaceae. The record is from RNAcentral.